CCUUGGAGUUCCUUGGCCUCCUUGCUUCCUCCUUAGAGUUCUCCUAACUCUAGAGUGAAUAUCACUAUUAUUGAGUGAUUUCUGAAUGAAUAAUAGUGGAGGAAGGAGGCUCUAUUUAUAGUUUUUCAGCUGGGUUUAGGCUUUCUCUGCGCAUCCAUCGCACCCAUCGUGGCCACGAUGGCGUGUAUUUUCGCCUCAUCGUGGCCACGAUGGAUCCUAUCGUG
Molecule: long non-coding RNA, 224 nt
Filed under: Trifolium pratense (red clover)
Lineage: Eukaryota; Viridiplantae; Streptophyta; Magnoliopsida; Fabales; Fabaceae
Description: long non-coding RNA (TPRA_LNC002117)
Source: RNAcentral